RNAcentral lists this non-coding RNA (32 nucleotides) under Mus musculus (house mouse). The record is from RNAcentral. Lineage: Eukaryota; Metazoa; Chordata; Mammalia; Rodentia; Muridae.
UGUGUAUGGUUACCAAUGACUGUAAAUGUCUC